AUUGCUUCUCGGCUUUUUAGCUAAGAUCAAGUGUAUAAAUCUCAACAUAUGUAUUUAUGCUAGCAUAUAUCAUAGAUAUAUAUAUAUCAUAGAUAUGCCCCUACAUACCUUCC
RNAcentral lists this small nuclear RNA (113 nucleotides) under Mus musculus (house mouse). RNAcentral's name for it is "U2 spliceosomal RNA". It matches the Rfam family "U2 spliceosomal RNA". From Rfam's summary of the family: U2 is a small nuclear RNA (snRNA) component of the spliceosome (involved in pre-mRNA splicing). The record is from Rfam by way of RNAcentral. Lineage: Eukaryota; Metazoa; Chordata; Mammalia; Rodentia; Muridae.